RNAcentral lists this ribosomal RNA (537 nucleotides) under uncultured bacterium. RNAcentral's name for it is "bacterial SSU rRNA". It matches the Rfam family "Bacterial small subunit ribosomal RNA", at positions 777 to 1315 of the family's 1533-position model. The record is from RNAcentral.
AAUAGAUACCCAGGUAGUCCUAGCCGUAAACGAUGGACACUAGGUGUUGGUGGUAUCAACCCCGCCAGUGCCGAAGCUAACGCAUUAAGUGUCCCGCCUGGGGAGUACGGCCGCAAGGCUAAAACUCAAAGGAAUUGACGGGGGCCCGCACAAGCGGCGGAGCAUGCGGACUAAUUCGAUGCAACGCGAAGAACCUUACCAAGGCUUGACAUAUACCGUUUAUCCCUAGAGAUAGGGAGUCCUUGGGGCGGUAUACAGGUGGUGCAUGGUUGUCGUCAGCUCGUGUCGUGAGAUGUUGGGUUAAGUCCCGCAACGAGCGCAACCCUCGUUCUAUGUUGCCAGCACGUAAUGGUGGGGACUCAUAGGAGACUGCCGGGGUCAACUCGGAGGAAGGUGGGGAUGACGUCAAAGUCAUCAUGCCCCUUAUGUCUUGGGCUUCACGCAUGCUACAAUGGCCGGUACAAAGGGCUGCAAUACCGUAAGGUGGAGCGAAUCCCAAAAAGCCGGUCUCAGUUCGGAUUGAGGUCUGCAACUCGA